GUGUCAGCAGCCGCGGUAAUACGGAGGGUGCAAGCGUUAUCCGGAUUCACUGGGUUUAAAGGGUGCGUAGGCGGGCAUGUAAGUCAGUGGUGAAAUCUCCGGGCUUAACCCGGAAAUUGCCGUUGAUACUAUGUGUCUUGAAUAUCGUUGAGGUUUGCGGAAUAUGUCAUGUAGCGGUGAAAUGCUUAGAUAUGACAUAGAACACCAAUUGCGAAGGCAGCAGGCUAAACGAACAUUGACGCUGAGGCACGAAAGCGUGGGGAUCAAACAGGAUUAGAAACCCCUGUAGUCC
RNAcentral lists this ribosomal RNA (292 nucleotides) under uncultured bacterium. Its description in RNAcentral is "partial 16S ribosomal RNA". It matches the Rfam family "Bacterial small subunit ribosomal RNA", at positions 505 to 796 of the family's 1533-position model. The record is from RNAcentral.